Molecule: ribosomal RNA, 466 nt
Filed under: uncultured bacterium
Lineage: Bacteria
Description: partial 16S ribosomal RNA
Rfam family: Bacterial small subunit ribosomal RNA
Source: RNAcentral
GACGAACGCUGGCGGCGUGCUUAACACAUGCAAGUCGAACGGAAAGGCCCUGCUUGCGGGGUUCUCGAGUGGCGAACGGGUGAGUAACACGUGGGUGGUCUGCCCUGCACUUCGGGAUAAGCAUGGGAAACUGGGUCGAAUACCGGCUAGGAGACAUCUUGAGUGUGGUGGUUGGAAAGUUUUUUCGGUGUAGGAUGAGCUCGCGGGCUAUCAGCUUGUUGGUGGGGUAAUGGCCUACCAAGGCGGCGACGGGGAGCCGGCCUGCGAGGGUGUACGGCCACACUGGGACCGUGCUACAGCCCGGACUCCGACGGGAGGCAGCAGGGGCGAAGAUUGCACAAUGCGCCCCAGCCUGAUGCAGCGACGCCGCGUGGGCGUUGAAGGCCUUCAGGAUGUAAGCUCCUAUCGCUAGGUACGAAGCCUUUUUGUGACGGUACCUAGAUAAGAAGCACCGGCUAACUACGUG